GCAGGGGACCGCAAGGCCUUGUGCUCCUGGAGCGGCCGAUAUCUGAUUAGCUAGUUGGUGGGGUAAAGGCCCACCAAGGCAUCGAUCAGUAGCUGGUCUGAGAGGACGACCAGCCACACUGGAACUGAGACACGGUCCAGACUCCUACGGGAGGCAGCAGUGGGGAAUUUUGGACAAUGGGCGCAAGCCUGAUCCAGCAAUGCCGCGUGAGUGAAGAAGGCCUUCGGGUUGUAAAGCUCUUUUGUCAGGGAAGAAACGGCCGUUUCUAAUACAGAUGGCUAAUGACGGUACCUGAAGAAUAAGCACCGGCUAACUACGUGCCAGCAGCCGCGGUAAUACGUAGGGUGCAAGCGUUAAUCGGAAUUACUGGGCGUAAAGCGUGCGCAGGCGGUUUUGUAAGUCUGUCGUGAAAUCCCCGGGCUCAACCUGGGAAUGGCGAUGGAGACUGCAAGGCUAGAGUUUGGCAGAGGGGGGUAGAAUUCCACGUGUAGCAGUGAAAUGCGUAGAUAUGUGGAGGAACACCGAUGGCGAAGGCAGCCCCCUGGGUCAAAACUGACGCUCAUGCACGAAAGCGUGGGGAGCAAACAGGAUUAGAUACCCUGGUAGUCCACGCCCUAAACGAUGUCUACUAGUUGUCGGGUCUUAAUUGACUUGGUAACGCAGCUAACGCGUGAAGUAGACCGCCUGGGGAGUACGGUCGCAAGAUUAAAACUCAAAGGAAUUGACGGGGACCCGCACAAGCGGUGGAUGAUGUGGAUUAAUUCGAUGCAACGCGAAAAACCUUACCUACCCUUGACAUGGAAGGAAUCCCGGAGAGAUUUGGGAGUGCCCGAAAGGGAACCUUUACACAGGUGCUGCAUGGCUGUCGUCAGCUCGUGUCGUGAGAUGUUGGGUUAAGUCCCGCAACGAGCGCAACCCUUGUCAUUAGUUGCUACGAAAGAGCACUCUAAUGAGACUGCCGGUGACAAACCGGAGGAAGGUGGGGAUGACGUCAAGUCCUCAUGGCCCUUAUGGGUAGGGCUUCACACGUCAUACAAUGGUACAUACAGAGGGCCGCCAACCCGCGAGGGGGAGCUAAUCCCAGAAAGUGUAUCGUAGUCCGGAUUGUAGUCUGCAACUCGACUGCAUGAAGUUGGAAUCGCUAGUAAUCGCGGAUCAGCAUGUCGCGGUGAAUACGUUCCCGGGUCUUGUACACACCGCCCGUCACACCAUGGGAGCGGGUUUUACCAGAAGUAGGUAGCUUAACCGUAAGGAGGGCGCUUACCACGGUAGGAUUCGUGACUGGGGUGAAGUCGUAACAAGGUA
This 1305-nucleotide ribosomal RNA is filed under the name metagenome. RNAcentral describes it as "bacterial SSU rRNA". It matches the Rfam family "Bacterial small subunit ribosomal RNA", at positions 196 to 1498 of the family's 1533-position model. The record is from RNAcentral.